Molecule: ribosomal RNA, 465 nt
Filed under: Vreelandella stevensii
Lineage: Bacteria; Pseudomonadati; Pseudomonadota; Gammaproteobacteria; Oceanospirillales; Halomonadaceae
Description: partial 16S ribosomal RNA
Rfam family: Bacterial small subunit ribosomal RNA
Source: RNAcentral
CCUACGAGUGGCAGCAGUGGGGAAUAUUGGACAAUGGGCGAAAGCCUGAUCCAGCCAUGCCGCGUGUGUGAAGAAGGCCUUCGGGUUGUAAAGCACUUUCAGUGGGGAAGAAAGCCUUGGGGCUAAUACCCUCGAGGAAGGACAUCACCCACAGAAGAAGCACCGGCUAACUCCGUGCCAGCAGCCGCGGUAAUACGGAGGGUGCGAGCGUUAAUCGGAAUUACUGGGCGUAAAGCGCGCGUAGGCGGUCUGAUAAGCCGGUUGUGAAAGCCCCGGGCUCAACCUGGGAACGGCAUCCGGAACUGUCAGGCUAGAGUGCAGGAGAGGAAGGUAGAAUUCCCGGUGUAGCGGUGAAAUGCGUAGAGAUCGGGAGGAAUACCAGUGGCGAAGGCGGCCUUCUGGACUGACACUGACGCUGAGGUGCGAAAGCGUGGGUAGCAAACAGGAUUAGAUACCCGAGUAGUC